UACAGGGGGUGCAAGCGUUGCUCGGAAUUAUUGGGCGUAAAGCGCGCGUAGGCGGCUACUUAAGUCGGAUGUGAAAGCCCUUGGCUCAACUGAGGAAGUGCACCCGAAACUGAGUGGCUAGAGUACGAAAGAGGGUCGCGGAAUUCCCGGUGUAGAGGUGAAAUUCGUAGAUAUCGGGAGGAACACCGGUGGCGAAGGCGGGUUGCUGGGCUGACACUGACGCUGAUGCGCGAAAGCCAGGGGAGCGAACGGG
RNAcentral lists this ribosomal RNA (253 nucleotides) under uncultured bacterium. RNAcentral's name for it is "partial 16S ribosomal RNA". It matches the Rfam family "Bacterial small subunit ribosomal RNA", at positions 524 to 776 of the family's 1533-position model. The record is from RNAcentral.